Molecule: non-coding RNA, 1564 nt
Organism: Drosophila melanogaster (fruit fly)
Lineage: Eukaryota; Metazoa; Arthropoda; Insecta; Diptera; Drosophilidae
Source: Ensembl
AAAGUAGUUAGAAAGUAGAAACAGUCAGAAAGGACGAUGUCACAGGAGUCUCAUUGAACCAAGAAAGGAUGGCAUUUCUAUUGAUGUACGUAAAAGAUUGGUUUCAUUAAAUUGGCGCUUUCAUUAGAAAUACCUUACCACGUUUAAAACGUUACUGAUAUUAAUGAGUUUCUAAGAUUCCGUUUAUGACUUCUCAAACGUGUAAUUUUUGACCAUAACAUGUGCUUAAAUGCUAAUGGUGCACUCCUAGUUAAGGACCUUCUUAAUGAUUGAUUUUAUAGAAGUGGUCAAAUUUUACAUCGAACUUGUUAAAAGUUAUAGGUGUGCAGUCAGGUGCCCGCUUUGAACACAUUCGGCUCUAUUUUAACUGGCUAUCUGCAAGGUUGAUAUCCCCGGAGGAAAGUGGCUUCACCUGGUGCUAGCAGCUCCUUUUCUACGGUUCAAGAUAAAAAAAAAGCUGCUGUGGCGCCUACAAUAAGAACAACCACUGGCACUAAACUGUUAAAAAAUGCAGGCACAAAUAUUUGUUUCUGGGUUUGUUUGGUUGCUUGUUUGCAAAACUAAUGAAAUUUUUGCCAUAUUCGCCAGUGCGGUGCCUGACCCCAAAAGCAUAAAAACAUAAAAUCUGACCGCAAAAAAUUAAAAGGAGACCGCAAAAAAAUCGACGCCACCUUGAAAGCGGCUGCGGGUAAGGUAAAGAAAUCCGAGGCAAAGAUGGCCACCGGAGACAGAAGGGCCGGGAAUCAGAAGGCAAGUGCCAAAGACAAAGCAAGUGAACGAAGUCAGAGCGCUCCAGCUCCAGAUUAUUAUGUCAAGUCACGUUUAUGAGCGUAAUUUCGACAAGACCCCUUCCAAUCCCGACCCGCUCCGCCAGACGCAGCCACAAUCGCCCCCAGCUGCACGGAGCAUCGGGCAUGCCCACAUCCCCAUUCCCAUCCCCAUCCAAAUUCGCAUCCCCAUCCGGAGGACGCUUGUUAAGCGGCGAACGCGACAUUGCAGCAGUUAAGACACCGCCCGCCGGCAUUCAAUAAGCCGUUAAAAACUCACUAGGAUGGAAGACCCACAAAAACAGAUAUAUUUUGAAGUCUGCUCCAGCCACUUUAGUGCCAUACGAAUGUCUGUAAGUCUUAUGGCCGUGCUUUAAAAAUUAUUCGAAAUUUUCAAAUUAGCUUUUAUUCUUUUUCCUUAAUCAAAGUGUGAUUAUCAACUGUGUAAUUAAAAUACGGCAAUGAAAUUUAGGGAUUGGAAUAAAACUUAUAUUCGGGAAAGACGUCAGAAAUCUUUAACGCAUUGAACAACUAGAUUAAUUAGUAAUUUUUUUCCACGAAAAACCCACAUUUUCUCUUAGCUUUAUUAAUAAACAAUUUUAUGUAUAAGUAUUGAUAAUGAUGAUUAGAUCACCGCCGGAAUGAUAUUAGAAUUUGACAGCAAAUCUAGCUAUUUACUAGCAUAAAUGAUUUAUUUAGCCACAAUAAAGUGCGAUACCGUAUAAUAAGGCCAUUUGAUAUAAUUAGUAAUAUUUAUGAUUAUUAUCAUAAUUAGUUUUUGAUUAUGACUCAGUAAU